GAUUCGUCACACUAUCAUUAACUGAAUCCAUAGGUUAAUGAGGCGAACCGGGGGAACUGAAACAUCUAAGUACCCCGAGGAAAAGAAAUCAACCGAGAUUCCCCCAGUAGCGGCGAGCGAACGGGGAGGAGCCCAGAGCCUGAAUCAGCAUGUGUGUUAGUGGAAGCGUCUGGAAAGGCGCGCGAUACAGGGUGACAGCCCCGUACACAAAAGCGCAUGUGCUGUGAGCUCGAUGAGUAGGGCGGGACACGUGGUAUCCUGUCUGAAUAUGGGGGGACCAUCCUCCAAGGCUAAAUACUCCUGACUGACCGAUAGUGAACCAGUACCGUGAGGGAAAGGCGAAAAGAACCCCGGCGAGGGGAGUGAAAAAGAACCUGAAACCGUGUACGUACAAGCAGUGGGAGCACCCUUCGGGGUGUGACUG
Molecule: ribosomal RNA, 424 nt
Filed under: Salmonella enterica subsp. enterica serovar Typhimurium
Lineage: Bacteria; Pseudomonadati; Pseudomonadota; Gammaproteobacteria; Enterobacterales; Enterobacteriaceae
Description: partial 23S ribosomal RNA
Rfam family: Bacterial large subunit ribosomal RNA
Source: RNAcentral